AUGAACUGAUCUUGAAUGGGUGUUUUUGGUUUUUUUUCGUUGCUAUGGUAGAGGCGAAGGGUUAGAGGAGAAAAGUUCUCAAAAGAAUCAAUAAAAGGGUGGUGGAGGAGGAGAUGCAUACGAGACUCCGAUGACGGGUGGCAAAGGCCCUUCAUAUACAGGUGCAGGUGGUGGAGAUGACGGUGGUGGCGGUGAAUUGUAAUGAUAAACAGGUGUUGGAGGUGGCGGUGAUGGUGGUGGUGGUGAAUUAUAUUGAAUUGGGGGAGGUGGUGGUGAUGGUGAUGGUGGCGGAUGGUAAGGUGCAGAGUGUGGUGAUGGUGGUGGUGGUGAAUGCUCUUCACAAGGUGGUGGAGGUGGUGGCGGAGGAGGUGACUCUAUACAAGGUGGUGGAGAUGGGGGUGGCGGUGGUGGUGAAUAAACUGGUGGGGGAGGAGAGUGAACUGGAGGAGGUGGUGGCGGUGAUAAAUAGGGAUAAACUGGUGGUGGUGGUGGUGGUGAAUGUGGUGGUGGCGGUGGCGAAUGAGGUGGAGGUGGCGGUGGAGAGGCGGCGAAUACACUGGUGGUGGAG
This 568-nucleotide long non-coding RNA is filed under the name Glycine max (soybean). Its description in RNAcentral is "long non-coding RNA (GMAX_LNC002052)". The record is from RNAcentral. Lineage: Eukaryota; Viridiplantae; Streptophyta; Magnoliopsida; Fabales; Fabaceae.